GAUGAACGCUGGCGGCGUGCUUAACACAUGCAAGUCGAACGGAAAGGCCGAAGCUUGCUUCGGUACUCGAGUGACGAACGGGUGAGUAACACGUGGGUGAUCUGCCCUGUACUUCGGGAUAAGCUUGGGAAACUGGGUCUAAUACCGGAUAUGACAAUCUCUUGGAUGGGGUUGUGGAAAGCUUUUGCGGUAUGGGAUGAGCUCGCGGCCUAUCAGCUUGUUGGUGGGGUAAUGGCCUACCAAGGCGUCGACGGGUAGCCGGCCUGAGAGGGUGUACGGCCACAUUGGGACUGAGAUACGGCCCAGACUCCUACGGGAGGCAGCAGUGGGGAAGAUUGCACAAUGGGCGCAAGCCUGAUGCAGCGACGCCGCGUGGGGGAUGACGGCCUUCGGGUUGUAAACUCCUUUCGCAACCGACGAAGCUUUUUGUGACGGUAGGUUGAGAAGAAGCACCGGCUAACUACGUG
RNAcentral lists this ribosomal RNA (467 nucleotides) under uncultured bacterium. Its description in RNAcentral is "partial 16S ribosomal RNA". It matches the Rfam family "Bacterial small subunit ribosomal RNA", at positions 28 to 507 of the family's 1533-position model. The record is from RNAcentral.